This 146-nucleotide ribosomal RNA is filed under the name Microchloropsis salina. RNAcentral's name for it is "partial 18S ribosomal RNA". It matches the Rfam family "Eukaryotic small subunit ribosomal RNA", at positions 1673 to 1824 of the family's 1831-position model. The record is from RNAcentral. Lineage: Eukaryota; Eustigmatophyceae; Eustigmatales; Monodopsidaceae.
CCGUCGCACCUACCGAUUGAAUGAUUCGGUGAAGCUUUCGGAUUACGCCAUCAGCCUCGGCCGACGGCGUGAGAAGUUAUCUAAACCUCAUCAUUUAGAGGAAGGUGAAGUCGUAACAAGGUUUCCGUAGGUGAACCUGCGGAAGG